UAGGGUGUUGCUAUGCGGUUGCUAGGGUACCCUGAGUGGUUGCUAAGGUGUUGCUAUGCGGUUGCUAGGGUAUCUGGGAUGGUUGCUAGGGUGUUGCUAUGCGGUUGCUAGGGUACCCUGAGUGGUUGCUAAGGUGUUGCUAUGCGGUUGCUAGGGUAUCUGGGAUGGUUGCUAGGGUGUUGCUAUGCGGUUGCUAGGGUACCCUGAGUGGUUGCUAAGGUGUUGCUAUGCGGUUGCUAGGGUAUCUGGGAUGGUUGCUAGGGUGUUGAUAUGCGGUUGCUAGGGUACCCUGAGUGGUUGCUAAGGUGUUGCUAUGCGGUUGCUAGGGUAUCUGGGAUGGUUGCUAGGGUGUUGCUAUGCGGUUGCUAGGGUACCCUGAGUGGUUGCUAAGGUGUUGCUAUGUGGUUGCUAGGAUACCCUGGGUGGUUUCUAGGUUGGUUUGGAUAGUUGCUAGAGUGUUGCUAUGAAGAUAGAUAGAUAGAUAGAUAGAUAGAUAGAUAGAUAGAUAGAUAGAUAGAUAGAUAGAUAGAUAGAUAGAUAGAUAGAUAGAUAGAUUAGAAACAGUCAGAUUAUAGAUAGAUAGAUAGAUAGAUAGAUAGAUAGAUAGAUAGAUAGAUAGAUAGAUAGAUUAGUUUUAAUAUAGAUGGAUAGAGAGAUAGAUUAGUUUUAAUAUAGAUGGAUAGAUAGAUAGAUUAGUUUUAAUAUAGAUAGAUAGAUUAGUUUUAAUAUAGAUAGAUAGAUAGAUGGAUAGAUAGAUACAGUCAGAAGAUAGA
Long non-coding RNA from Carassius gibelio (silver crucian carp), 773 nucleotides. RefSeq lists it as uncharacterized. The record is from RefSeq and is a predicted model, not a curated record. Lineage: Eukaryota; Metazoa; Chordata; Actinopteri; Cypriniformes; Cyprinidae. The transcript is spliced from 4 exons.